ACACCAAUGCCAGAGUUGGAAUAGCCUCUAAAUGUCAUAAUUGCUGGGUCUGUUGCCACCUGCAUCCAAUAAAAAAAUGACUGACCCCGUUACUAAUCUCCUCAACAGGAAAUAUUAUUGGAAAUGCAGAUUAGCAAGCAAUGUUCAAAGAUAUAUUGUCACCUGACUUCAUUUUAGAUUUUCCAAACAGCAAUAACAGUUUGCAAAGAUUCACAUCACGCCGCCCUUGUACCGUGAGUGUCCUGUUUAAACUAACACCACAUGCCAGACGCGCCUGAUGCCCCGAAACUAAAACUGGGAUC
RNAcentral lists this long non-coding RNA (302 nucleotides) under Elaeis guineensis (African oil palm). RNAcentral describes it as "long non-coding RNA (EGUI_LNC001942)". The record is from RNAcentral. Lineage: Eukaryota; Viridiplantae; Streptophyta; Magnoliopsida; Arecales; Arecaceae.